RNAcentral lists this long non-coding RNA (935 nucleotides) under Capra hircus (goat). RNAcentral describes it as "lncRNA (ENSCHIG00010007199.1)". Lineage: Eukaryota; Metazoa; Chordata; Mammalia; Artiodactyla; Bovidae. The record is from RNAcentral.
GCCCUGUUCUCUAGACCCCAAAUCGGAGAGAGUGGGUGUAUCUAGUGAUUGGUAGGUAACGUGAUCUGCCUUUUGUAGCAAGCCAGAAGCCAGAUGUCCCCUCCCCUUUGAUCUGAAUAACACUUUAGGCUGCAGACAAUAAGAUUGGUUUUAAAUUUAUUGUCUCUUUGAUUUCUGCAUUCUAACGCUUUUUAAAUUCUUUACACAAGACAGGGCUAUAUAUAGGCAACUGGGGUGGUUCAAUGGAGGCCAAAAAAAUGCCAGUAGAUUUUGAGAAGUGCUGGGCAAAGGCUCGUGCAUAUUUCUCUGCAAGGAAACAAAGACAACUUACUUGCGGAAUCCUCUGCGAACUUCUCUGUGAAGAAAGGACAAGCCAUGCAAGGACUCAGUGAGGUGAGGAAUAAGAAAACAUCAAAUGCUCAUUUCCCCUGCCUUCUGAGACUGCACCUUACCUUUGCAGCGUGGGAGCAGAGUCCCAGAGAAUCCCCUUUGUGUAGCACAUCCAUCUGAUUUUCUAGGCCGUCUUCAAUUCCUUGGAUAUCAGGUAUUAAGGUAGAAAGCACUUUUUUUUUUCCUCUCCUUUAUGGUUAUGAAAUAUGAAGGAUAGCCACAGCUGAAGCUUUUAAGCCUGAUGGGGAUGGCUCCCUAGAGAGGCUCUUACAAACUUAGAGGAUAGUCGGGAAGGGCUGUGAGUUUGGAAAAGCACUUCAGAAAAAAAUCCUGUGAAGUCAGCAACUACAGGAUAAUAUCCUAACAGGCAUACCUGGAGACAGACUCAGGCCCAGUCAUGGAACUGUUGAUGUGGCUGGAUUCGCUCAUCUUUUAAAGAGAGGUGUGUUAAAGUGACUGCUUCAAGGUGUCCUUUCAGACCUGUCUCUUCUCUACACUUUCAUCCUCUUUCAAUAAAUCUUAGAAUUCUUCCUAUUUGAAUGAAG